This 449-nucleotide ribosomal RNA is filed under the name uncultured bacterium. Its description in RNAcentral is "partial 16S ribosomal RNA". It matches the Rfam family "Bacterial small subunit ribosomal RNA", at positions 354 to 796 of the family's 1533-position model. The record is from RNAcentral.
GUCGAGAAUCUUUCACAAUGGGGGCAACCCUGAUGGAGCGACGCCGCGUGGAGGAUAAGGUCUUCGGAUUGUAAACUCCUGUCAUGCGUGAACAAGGUUGCUUGGUUAAUACCUGGGCAAAUUGAUGGUAACGCAAGAGGAAGAGACGGCUAACUCUGUGCCAGCAGCCGCGGUAAUACAGAGGUCUCAAGCGUUGUUCGGAAUCACUGGGCGUAAAGGGUGCGUAGGUGGCGUGGUAAGUCAGAUGUGAAAGCCCGGGGCUCAACCUCGGAACUGCAUCGGAUACUGCCAUGCUAGAGUACUGGAGAGGUGACUAAAAUUCUCGGUGUAGCAGUGAAAUGCGUAGAUAUAGAGAGGAAUACCAAAGGCGUAGGCAGGUCACUGGACAGUUACUGACACUGAGGCACGAAGGCCAGGGGAGCGAACGGGAUUAGAAACCCCUGUAGUCC